RNAcentral lists this ribosomal RNA (429 nucleotides) under Verrucomicrobiota bacterium. Its description in RNAcentral is "Verrucomicrobia bacterium partial 16S ribosomal RNA". It matches the Rfam family "Bacterial small subunit ribosomal RNA", at positions 355 to 776 of the family's 1533-position model. The record is from RNAcentral. Lineage: Bacteria; Pseudomonadati; Verrucomicrobiota.
UAGGGAAUCUUCCGCAAUGGACGAAAGUCUGACGGAGCAACGCCGCGUGAGUGAAGAAGGAUUUCGGUUCGUAAAACUCUGUUGUUAGGGAAGAAAAAAUGUAUAGUAACUAUAUACAAAAGAGACGGUACCUAACCAGAAAGCCACGGCUAACUACGUGCCAGCAGCCGCGGUAAUACGUAGGUGGCAAGCGUUGUCCGGAAUUAUUGGGCGUAAAGCGCGCGCAGGUGGUUUAGAAAGUCUGAUGUGAAAGCCCACGGCUCAACCGUGGAGGGUCAUUGGAAACUAAUAAACUGGAGUGCAGGAGAGAAAAGUGGAAUUCCUAGUGUAGCGAUGAAAUGCGUAGAGAUUAGGAGGAACACCGGUGGCGAAAGCGGCUUUUUGGCCUGCAACUGACACUGAGGCGCGAAAGCGUGGGGAGCAAACAGG